This 1031-nucleotide long non-coding RNA is filed under the name Homo sapiens (human). RNAcentral describes it as "HSALNT0264732". Lineage: Eukaryota; Metazoa; Chordata; Mammalia; Primates; Hominidae. The record is from RNAcentral.
GACGCUGAAGUUUGGAGUACGGAUCCUGUCACCCUGGUGGUCCUGCUGGGAAAUCAUAAAACUGGGCUCAUUUAGGAAGAGGCAACGUGGCUAUAUCAGAAAAGCUGCCAUAUGUGAAACCUCACUUUCUGCCUGUUGAAAUUUUUGUAUUUCAGGUCUCCCAGGGACAUGUCCACUGUGCUAUUGUGUAAUUUUAUCAGCAUGAACUUCUGCUGAAUAUUUUUCCUUCUUUUCAAAAUCCAUAUUUUAAUAGAACUAACUUCAAAACUUAAUGUUGCAACAUCUGUGCCCAUAUACCUGGGAGCCAUAGAAGAUGUAUCCUGAAGAUUAUCUACAUUUUCUAAUCUUAUAAAAUGCUACAAAAAAGAGAGAAAAAGGUUAUAUAUUUUUCCUGGUCUGGAUUUUUUUUUUUUUAAAGGAAUCACUUUCUGCCUCCUUAAAAGGAGUCUUAAAAUAAAAGAGAAGGAAUACUUCUAAAGCUAUAAAGAAUAUCUUUACAAAUGUAAUAAAAUACUCAUUUGUUUUGUUUACAGAUAAUUCCUAAUACAUAUGUACAACUUUCCAUUAAGACACUAUUUUGUGAAUACAAAAUCUGGAGCUAUAGCCUCGAAAUGUUUUCAAACAAGACUUUUUAAUAACUAAAUAAAAAGAAAGUAAAAAAAAUUGCUACUUUGAAUUUAUUUACUAGUUUUCUUUUGUGGAUCUAUCAACAGCUCAAUGGUUUCUUUUUUAAAAAAAUAGAAGUUAUGGUUGUGUUUAUUUCUCAAAUGGAAGAUUGAGAUACUGACAAACAAGGAAGUGUUUAUGAAUGGAGAGAAAUGCCUUCCACCUGGCUUCCUUCUAUUAGUUGUUUUAUCUCUUUAGAAUAAAAUACGCAGCAAUGUAAAGAGUUUAGACCAUAUCAAAACUGCUGGCCUGAGAUGGUGCUGCCAACCAAAUGGAUAGAACCAGUUGUUGUUGUUGAAGGAUAAUGUAAAAUAUGUGACUUUCUACAGAUUCAAAAUAGUGAAGAAGAAUGAUAAAUGGACUUG